AGUGAACGCUGGCGGUAGGCCUAACACAUGCGAGUCGAACGGCAGCACAGUAAGAGCUUGCUCUUACGGGUGGCGAGUGGCGGACGGGUGAGGAAUACAUCGGAAUCUACUUUUUCGUGGGGGAUAACGUAGGGAAACUUACGCUAAUACCGCAUACGACCUACGGGUGAAAGCAGGGGAUCUUCGGACCUUGCGCGAUUGAAUGAGCCGAUGUCGGAUUAGCUAGUUGGCGGUGUAAAGGCCCACCAAGGCGACGAUCCGUAGCUGGUCUGAGAGGAUGAUCAGCCACACUGGAACUGAGACACGGUCCAGACUCCUACGGGAGGCAGCAGUGGGGAAUAUUGGACAAUGGGCGCAAGCCUGAUCCAGCCAUACCGCGUGGGUGAAGAAGGCCUUCGGGUUGUAAAGCCCUUUUGUUGGGAAAGAAAAGCAGCAGGUUAAUACCCCGCUGUUCUGACGGUACCCAAAGAAUAAGCACCGGCUAACUUCGUG
This 492-nucleotide ribosomal RNA is filed under the name uncultured bacterium. Its description in RNAcentral is "partial 16S ribosomal RNA". It matches the Rfam family "Bacterial small subunit ribosomal RNA", at positions 29 to 507 of the family's 1533-position model. The record is from RNAcentral.